This 896-nucleotide ribosomal RNA is filed under the name uncultured bacterium. RNAcentral's name for it is "bacterial SSU rRNA". It matches the Rfam family "Bacterial small subunit ribosomal RNA", at positions 338 to 1234 of the family's 1533-position model. The record is from RNAcentral.
CCUACGGGAGGCAACAGUCGGGAAUCUUGGGCAAUGGGCGAAAGCCUGACCCAGCAACGCCGUGUGGGUGAUGAAGGCCUUCGGGUCGUAAAGCCCUGUUGAUAGGGACGAAAGGCGAAGGGUUAAUAGCCCCUAAUUGACGGUACCUUUCGAGGAAGCCCCGGCUAACUACGUGCCGGCGGCCGCGGUAAUACGUAUUGGGCGAGCGUUGUCCGGAAUUAGUGGGCGGAAAGAGCGUGUAAGCGGUUCGGUAAAUCUGUCGUGGGAUCCUGGGGCUCAGACUCGGGCGUGCGAUGGAUACUGCCGAGCUAGAGGGUGAAGAGGCAAGUGGAAUUCCCGGUGUAGCAGUAAAAUGCACGGAUAUCGGGAGGAACACCGGUAACGAAGGCGGCUCGCUGGGCCACACCGGACACUGAGACGCAAAAGAUAGGGGAGCGAACAGGAUUAUAUACCCUGGUAGUCCUAUCCGUAAACGAUGGACACUACGUGUGGGGGGAGUCGAAUCCCUCUGUGCCGCACUAACGCGUUAAGUGUCCCGCCUGGGGAGUACUGCCGCAAGGCUAAAACUCACAAAGAAUUGACGGAGGCCCGCACAAACAACGGAGCAUGUUCUUUAAUUCAUGCAACGCAAAGAACCUUACCUGGACUUGACAUGGGUGCUGCAAGCGCACGGAAACGUGUGACCUUUCGAGGGUGCACCACAGAUGCUGCAUGGCUGUCGUCAACUCAUGUCUGAUAUGAUGGGUUAAUCCCGCAACAGCGCACCCCCGGUGGCGUGUUGCCAGCUUAUAGUUGGAACUCACGCCCUACUGCCGUUGACAAACCGAAUGAUGGUGGAGGAAUAAUGCAAUACACCCUGGCCCCUACGCCCCGUGCCUGUUACGUUGUAAAGGGGG